GACCUACGAGACUAGACGUUGGAGAAUGACAAGCUCAGGUCGGCUAAUAAGCUCGAGGUCAGAUCGGAGCUCAAGCUCGAGGUCUGGAAAACUAGAUCGGGGACUCGGGGUCAGAGAGCGAGGUCGGGGACUCGGGGUCAGGUUGGAGGCGGCUCCAGUAGGCUUAGGUUGGAGAAUGAGGUCGGGAGUCGACGCAGGUCAGCUUGGAGAAGGAGAUCGGGAGUCGAUGCAGGUCAGCUUGGAGAAGGAGGUCUGGAGUCGAUCGUUAUCUAGGGUUCG
Molecule: long non-coding RNA, 279 nt
Filed under: Rosa chinensis
Lineage: Eukaryota; Viridiplantae; Streptophyta; Magnoliopsida; Rosales; Rosaceae
Description: sRNA RchiOBHm_Chr4g0413051
Source: RNAcentral